AUCCAGGAACUAGAAUAAACUGGAAAAGUAUUGAAGACUGGAACAAAAUAAGAGAAACCACAGCAAAUAUGUCUUGGAAGAAAUGUCAACAACACAGGAAAAUGCAGUCUUUGGCUCCUCGCAUCAAACUAGAGACAGCAUGAAGUCUCAGGAAAGUACAGUGGAGACUGAUGGUGCUUAUCAGCUCUGGAAUACAGCAGGCAAGAUGCUUGAGUGAUGUUUACAUUUCUAGUCCCACUCCUGUUAACUUGGUGCCCAGGAGUAAUUAAUACUGUUCACUAUGGAGAAGUGACUCUGACAGAGAAGGGAUUUUCACAGGUACAACCAGGAAAAACUUGACAAAAGUGAUUUUUGAGUAUCAGUGGAUCUUGAAAAGGGGGAGUUAUUUAUUUCAUGAAUAAGAAUAUAAGAGCAUUCAGA
Molecule: long non-coding RNA, 420 nt
Filed under: Mus spicilegus (steppe mouse)
Lineage: Eukaryota; Metazoa; Chordata; Mammalia; Rodentia; Muridae
Description: lncRNA (ENSMSIG00000022745.1)
Source: RNAcentral